Molecule: ribosomal RNA, 429 nt
Filed under: Fusobacteriota bacterium
Lineage: Bacteria; Fusobacteriati; Fusobacteriota
Description: Fusobacteria bacterium partial 16S ribosomal RNA
Rfam family: Bacterial small subunit ribosomal RNA
Source: RNAcentral
UGGGGAAUAUUGCGCAAUGGGCGAAAGCCUGACGCAGCGACGCCGCGUGAGGGAUGAAGGUUUUCGGAUCGUAAACCUCUGUCAGAAGGGAAGAAACCGCACUGUGCUAAUCAGCAGUGCCUUGACGGUACCUUCAAAGGAAGCACCGGCUAACUCCGUGCCAGCAGCCGCGGUAAUACGGAGGGUGCAAGCGUUAAUCGGAAUUACUGGGCGUAAAGCGCACGUAGGCUGCUUUGUAAGUCAGGGGUGAAAUCCCACGGCUCAACCGUGGAAAUGCCUUUGAUACUGCUUAGCUUGAGUCCGGGAGAGGGUGGCGGAAUUCCAGGUGUAGGGGUGAAAUCCGUAGAUAUCUGGAGGAACAUCAGUGGCGAAGGCGGCCACCUGGACCGGUAUUGACGCUGAGGUGCGAAAGCGUGGGGAGCAAACAGG